CAAGGUUCAAGAAAAUCACCAGCUGGUUUUCAGAAUAGAAAAAAAGGAUAUAGGCUUCGCAUAACAGCUUAUUUCAUCAAAAGAGAGAUUCACCUUCAUUGUAUUGUGGGGAAGCCGAGUUAUGCCCUCAAAACUCACUAAUUGUAGAAUGCUAUUUACAGAGUGGUAUAGUAAAUUGAGUUCCUGUUUUGGAAUGAGGAAAACAUAGGUUUCUGCUCUGCUGUGGACAUGUACUGGGACAUAUAGAUCUACUGGACAAGUCACUCUCUUAACAUUUUAGUAUCCCAGGCUACUCUCCAAGAUGGUAAGUUGAAGAGCAG
This 320-nucleotide long non-coding RNA is filed under the name Phascolarctos cinereus (koala). RNAcentral's name for it is "lncRNA (ENSPCIG00000033635.1)". Lineage: Eukaryota; Metazoa; Chordata; Mammalia; Diprotodontia; Phascolarctidae. The record is from RNAcentral.